AUCUAAGUAGUUUAAGUAGAAUAGUAAUUUGUGGUGUUACAGGUGUCUAAUGACUUUGGAUU
Molecule: transfer RNA, 62 nt
Filed under: Reduvius tenebrosus
Lineage: Eukaryota; Metazoa; Arthropoda; Insecta; Hemiptera; Reduviidae
Description: tRNA-His
Source: RNAcentral